GAUGCAGGCUACCUUAUCGCUGUUCCUUUUAGGAAAAGAGGAAAGUCCGGACACCAUAGUGCAGUAUAGCGGGUAACGCCCGUCCGUCGAAAGGCGAGGACAAGUGCAACAGAAAGAAUGUACAGGUAAUGCUGUAGUGAAAUCAGGUAAACUCUAUACGGUGCAACGCCAUGUAAACCGACUUUUGAGAGUUGCACGCUCGAUGUCGGAGGGUAGGCGGUUUGAUCUUGUUAGUAAUAACAAGGCUAGAUAAAUGAUAAGGAUCCCGAUACAGUUAUCGGGAAACAGAAUCCGGCUUAUAGCCUGCUUCUUUU
This 314-nucleotide RNase P RNA is filed under the name Aquimarina sp. RNAcentral's name for it is "RNase P RNA component class A". It matches the Rfam family "Bacterial RNase P class A". Rfam says of the family: Ribonuclease P (RNase P) is a ubiquitous endoribonuclease, found in archaea, bacteria and eukarya as well as chloroplasts and mitochondria. Its best characterised activity is the generation of mature 5'-ends of tRNAs by cleaving the 5'-leader elements of precursor-tRNAs. The record is from RNAcentral. Lineage: Bacteria; Pseudomonadati; Bacteroidota; Flavobacteriia; Flavobacteriales; Flavobacteriaceae.